UACAUAGGGUGCAAGCGUUAUUCGGAAUUACUGGGCGUAAAGCGUUCGUAGACGGUCAUGUAAGUCGGGUGUGAAAGCCCCGGGCUCAACCUGGGAAUUGCAUUCGAGACUGCAUGGCUAGGGUGCGGAAGAGGGGAGCGGAAUUUCCGGUGUAGCGGUGAAAUGCGUAGAUAUCGGAAGGAACACCAGUGGCGAAAGCGGGUUCCUGGGCCGGCACCGACGUUCAGGCACGAAAGCGUGGGGAGCAAACAGG
RNAcentral lists this ribosomal RNA (253 nucleotides) under uncultured bacterium. Its description in RNAcentral is "partial 16S ribosomal RNA". It matches the Rfam family "Bacterial small subunit ribosomal RNA", at positions 524 to 776 of the family's 1533-position model. The record is from RNAcentral.